UACGGGGGGAGCAAGCGUUGUUCGGAUUUACUGGGCGUAAAGGGCGCGUAGGCGGUCAGCACAAGUCAGUUGUGAAAUCUCCGGGCUUAACUCGGAAAGGUCAACUGAUACUGUGCGACUAGAGUGCGGAAGGGGCAACUGGAAUUCUCGGUGUAGCGGUGAAAUGCGUAGAUAUCGAGAGGAACACCUGUGGCGAAGGCGGGUUGCUGGGCCGACACUGACGCUGAUGCGCGACAGCAUGGGGAGCAAACAGG
RNAcentral lists this ribosomal RNA (254 nucleotides) under uncultured bacterium. RNAcentral's name for it is "partial 16S ribosomal RNA". It matches the Rfam family "Bacterial small subunit ribosomal RNA", at positions 524 to 776 of the family's 1533-position model. The record is from RNAcentral.